UGGGGAAUUUUGCACAAUGGGGGAAACCCUGAUGCAGCGACGCCGCGUGAUUUAGAAGGCCUUCGGGUUGUAAAAAUCUUUUUUACGGGAUGAAAAUGACAGUACCGUAAGAAUAAGGUCCGGCUAAAUACGUGCCAGCAGCCGCGGUAAUACGUAUGGACCGAGCGUUGUCCGGAAUCAUUGGGCGCAAAGGGUACGUAGGCGGCCUAGUAAGUUAGAAGUGAAAUAAUAUAGCUCAACUAUAUAAAGCUUUUAAAACUGCUAGACUUGAGAGAUGGAAGGGAAAGUGGAAUUCCUAGUGUAGCGGUGAAAUGCGCAGAUAUUAGGAAGAAUACCGGUGGCGAAGGCGACUUUCUGGUCAUCAUCUGACGCUGAGGUACGAAAGCGUGGGUAGCAAACAGG
RNAcentral lists this ribosomal RNA (402 nucleotides) under bacterium. RNAcentral describes it as "partial 16S ribosomal RNA". It matches the Rfam family "Bacterial small subunit ribosomal RNA", at positions 355 to 776 of the family's 1533-position model. The record is from RNAcentral.